GAUGAAGAACGUAGCGAAAUGCGAUACUUGGUGUGAAUUGCAGAAUCCCGUGAACCAUCGAGUCUUUGAACGCAAGUUGCGCCCGAAGCCGUCAGGCCGAGGGCACGCCUGCCUGGGCGUCACACGCCGUUGCCCCCCCCGCGCCCCGCACCCAACUCUUUGGGAGCGACCGCGGGGCGGGCUGAUGAUGGCCUCCCGUGCGCUCCGCCGCGCGGUUGGCCCAAAUACCGAGUCCCCGGCGACGUGCGCCAAGACGAUCGGUGGUUGAGAGACCUCUGUCGCAAGUCGUGCGCGCCCGUCGCGUCACGCGGGCUCGCAUAGCGCCUCGCGCCGCACCCGGUGCGGAGCUUUCAACGCGACCCCAGGUCAGGCGGGGUUACCCGCUGAAUUUAAGCAUAUCAAUAAGCGGAGGA
Molecule: unclassified non-coding RNA, 413 nt
Filed under: soil metagenome
Description: partial contains 5.8S ribosomal RNA, internal transcribed spacer 2, and large subunit ribosomal RNA
Rfam family: 5.8S ribosomal RNA (bases 1-122)
Source: RNAcentral